Molecule: ribosomal RNA, 294 nt
Filed under: uncultured bacterium
Lineage: Bacteria
Description: partial 16S ribosomal RNA
Rfam family: Bacterial small subunit ribosomal RNA
Source: RNAcentral
UGUAUCCUACGGGGCGCAGCAGUGGGGAAUAUUGCACAAUGGGGGGAACCCUGAUGCAGCGACGCCGCGUGAGUGAAGAAGUAUUUCGGUAUGUAAGGCUCUGUCAGCAGGGAAGAAGAAAGACGGUACCUGACCAAGAAGCCCCGGCUAACUACAUGCCAGCAGCCGCGGUAAUACGUAGGGGGCAAGCGUUAUCCGGAUUUACUGGGUGUAAAGGGAGCGUAGACGGCAGGGCAAGUCUGGAGUGAAAGUCAGGGGCCCAACCCCUGGACUGCUCUGGAAACUGUCCGGCUG